This 279-nucleotide ribosomal RNA is filed under the name uncultured bacterium. RNAcentral describes it as "partial 16S ribosomal RNA". It matches the Rfam family "Bacterial small subunit ribosomal RNA", at positions 75 to 353 of the family's 1533-position model. The record is from RNAcentral.
CUUGCUUUCUUUGCUGGCGACCGGCGCACGGGUGAAUAACACGUAUCCAACCUGCCCUUUACUCGGGGAUAGCCUUUCGAAAGAAAGAUUAAUACCCGAUAGUAUAAUGAUUCCGCAUGGUUUCAUUAUUAAAGGAUUCCGGUAAAGGAUGGGGAUGCGUUCCAUUAGGUUGUUGGUGAGGUAACGGCUCACCAAGCCUUCGAUGGAUAGGGGUUCUGAGAGGAAGGUCCCCCACAUUGGAACUGAGACACGGUCCAAACUCCUACGGGAGGCAGCAUG